RNAcentral lists this ribosomal RNA (495 nucleotides) under uncultured bacterium. Its description in RNAcentral is "partial 16S ribosomal RNA". It matches the Rfam family "Bacterial small subunit ribosomal RNA", at positions 28 to 507 of the family's 1533-position model. The record is from RNAcentral.
GACGAACGCUGGCGGCGUGCCUAAUACAUGCAAGUAGAACGCUGAAGGAGGAGCUUGCUUCUCUGGAUGAGUUGCGAACGGGUGAGUAACGCGUAGGUAACCUGCCUGGUAGCGGGGGAUAACUAUUGGAAACGAUAGCUAAUACCGCAUAAGAGUAGAUGUUGCAUGACAUUUGCUUAAAAGGUGCAAUUGCAUCACUACCAGAUGGACCUGCGUUGUAUUAGCUAGUUGGUGGGGUAACGGCUCACCAAGGCGACGAUACAUAGCCGACCUGAGAGGGGGAUCGGCCAAACUGGGAAUGAGACACGGCCCAGACUCCUACGGGAGGCAGCAGUAGGGAAUCUUCGGAAAUGGACGGAAGUCUGACCGAGCAACGCCGCGUGAGUGAAGAAGGUUGUCGGAUCGUAAAGCUCUGUUGUAAGAGAAGAACGAGUGUGAGAGUGGAAAGUUCACACUGUGACGGUAUCUUACCAGAAAGGGACGGCUAACUACGUG